RNAcentral lists this ribosomal RNA (497 nucleotides) under uncultured bacterium. RNAcentral describes it as "partial 16S ribosomal RNA". It matches the Rfam family "Bacterial small subunit ribosomal RNA", at positions 28 to 507 of the family's 1533-position model. The record is from RNAcentral.
GAUGAACGCUGGCGGCGUGCCUAAUACAUGCAAGUCGAGCGAACGGACGAGAAGCUUGCUUCUCUGAUGUUAGCGGCGGACGGGUGAGUAACACGUGGAUAACCUACCUAUAAGACUGGGAUAACUUCGGGAAACCGGAGCUAAUACCGGAUAAUAUUUUGAACCGCAUGGUUCAAAAGUGAAAGACGGUCUUGCUGUCACUUAUAGAUGGAUCCGCGCUGCAUUAGCUAGUUGGUAAGGUAACGGCUUACCAAGGCAACGAUGCAUAGCCGACCUGAGAGGGUGUUCGGCCACACUGGAACUGAGACGCGGUCCAGACUCCUCCGGGAGGCAGCAGUAGGCAAUCUUCCGCAAUGGGCGAAAGCCUGACGGAGCAUCGCCGCGUGAGUGAUGAAGGUCUUCGGAGCGUAAAACUCUGUUAUUAGGGAAGAACAUAUGUGUAAGUAGCUGUGCACUUCUUGACGGUACCUAAUCAGAAAGCCACGGCUAACUACGUG